GGGGAUGUAGCUUAGUUGGUAGAGCGCCGCCUUUGCACGGCGGAGGUCAGGAGUUCGAGUCUCCUCAUCUCCA
RNAcentral lists this transfer RNA (73 nucleotides) under Dictyobacter arantiisoli. It matches the Rfam family "tRNA". Rfam says of the family: Transfer RNA (tRNA) molecules are approximately 80 nucleotides in length. Their secondary structure includes four short double-helical elements and three loops (D, anti-codon, and T loops). Lineage: Bacteria; Bacillati; Chloroflexota; Ktedonobacteria; Ktedonobacterales; Dictyobacteraceae. RNAcentral also lists the same sequence under 1 other name. The record is from Rfam by way of RNAcentral.